This is a long non-coding RNA of Rhodamnia argentea, 282 nucleotides long. RefSeq lists it as uncharacterized. The transcript has 3 exons. NCBI's taxonomy places the organism in Eukaryota, Viridiplantae, Streptophyta, Magnoliopsida, Myrtales, Myrtaceae. The record is from RefSeq and is a predicted model, not a curated record.
UUUUUUUUUCCCAAUUACUUAGGCUUCUUUGACUUACAGUUAUUUUUGUAUAUAUGCCACCCACUUAGCAUCUUUAGAGCUAAAUUAAGGGAGCUCCUGAUCUGAAAAGUGUGACCCUUUUGCUUUCAGUGGAGCCUCAUAUUCCUCAUGAGCCUCCUUGUCUCUUCACUUUGGCCGGAUCCUCUAUAGUUGGGCAGAGGGAUUUCGCCAGAUUCAAUCAUGUUGAGAUCCCUGACAAGGGCCUCAUAAUGCCUCCUCACAUCCUCCACGCUCUUCCCAUCA